CAAGUGGAGCGACGAACCCUUCGGGGGGCAAAGCCGCGAACGGGUGAGUAACACGUGGGUAACCUGCCCCGAUGACUGGGACAACCCGGGGAAACCCGGGCUAAUACCGGAUGUGGUGCACACACUUAAGUGGGUGUAUCAAAGGUAGCUUCGGCUUCCGCAUCGGGAGGGGCCCGCGGCCCAUUAGCUUGUUGGUGAGGUAACGGCUCACCAAGGCUGCGAUGGGUAGCUGGUCUGAGAGGACGAUCAGCCACACUGGGACUGAGACACGGCCCAGACUCCUACGGGAGGCAGCAGUGGGGAAUCUUGCGCAAUGCGCGAAAGCGUGACGCAGCAACGCCGCGUGAGGGAAGACGGCCUUCGGGUUGUAAACCUCUUUCAGUGGGGACGAAGGCCGGCCGGUGAAUAGCCGUGUCGGUUGACGGUACCUUCAGAAGAAGCUCCGGCUAACUACGUGCCAGCAGCCGCGGUAAUACGUAGGGAGCAAGCGUUGUCCGGAAUCAUUGGGCGUAAAGCGCGCGUAGGCGGCCCGGUAAGUCCGUCGUGAAAGUCAAAGGCUCAACCUUUGAAUGUCGAUGGAUACUGCCGGGCUAGAGUCCGGAAGAGGCGAGUGGAAUUCCUGGUGUAGCGGUGGAAUGCGCAGAUAUCAGGAGGAACACCAAUAGCGAAGGCAGCUCGCUGGGACGGUACUGACGCUAAGGCGCGAAAGCGUGGGGAGCGAACAGGAUUAGAUACCCUGGUAGUCCACGCCGUAAACGAUGGGCACUAGGUGUGGGAGGUGUCGACUCCUCCCGUGCCGUCGCUAACGCAC
Molecule: ribosomal RNA, 811 nt
Filed under: uncultured Actinomycetes bacterium
Lineage: Bacteria; Bacillati; Actinomycetota; Actinomycetes
Description: bacterial SSU rRNA
Rfam family: Bacterial small subunit ribosomal RNA
Source: RNAcentral